This is a long non-coding RNA of Pogonomyrmex barbatus (red harvester ant), 1232 nucleotides long. The record is from RefSeq and is a predicted model, not a curated record. Lineage: Eukaryota; Metazoa; Arthropoda; Insecta; Hymenoptera; Formicidae.
UCGUGGCCUGGCAAAGCCCAGUCGAGUCCCGUGAGUCCGGGCAAGCACUGCUAUCGAGUAGGUGGCAUCGUGGUGGUGGUGGUGGUGGUGGAGGUGGUGGUGUUAGGCGUCGUCCGGGACCGAGGAGAGAGAGAGAAAGAGAGAGAUUCCUCCGAGAGAGAACCGCCAUCGAAUACCGCUGCCGCCGCCGCCGUUGUCGUCAUCACCGUCGUCGUCGUAAUAAUUAUAAUCGUAAUCGUGAUCGUUGUUGCCAUCUUCGUCAGCGUCUUCGUGUUCAUCGUUCAUCGCCGUGCCACCGCCGUCGAGGCGGUGCGUCGUCGUCGCACGCUCGAUGCCAAAGCGGCGACAUCUGUUCCCGCGACGGAACGUCGUUUCGCGCGUUGCCUCCGCCACGCACCCGGUCGCGGAUUACCCGGAAAUCAGCAAUUGCCUGUCCGCCGAGGAGACCUGCCCCCUGCGGCGUAUGUAAAGGGACGAGAGCGGAACGCGCGUGUACGCAGCCGGGAGGAAUCGAACGGCUGCACGCGCGCGCGCGCGAGCGCGCGCGAUGAUCCUGUGCGGCUUACGACUGUUUCGUGAGUGCGAGUGAGACGGACGAACGAGGAGGAGAUAGAGUGAAACCCUGAAACUUGAAGUGUACACGCAUACACGCGCGCGAACGCGCGUGCGUGUCGGACCGUCGUCACCGGUGAGAACGACGAGCGACGAGGAUUGUUUGUGAAGAAAAAGAGCAGCGAGAAUCACGUUCGAGUUGUGAUGCUGGGUUCCCAGGUACCAUCGGGUUCCUCGUGGUGAUAUCAAGUGCUUCGCUACGUAUAUAGUGCGUAUAUCUAUACGAGAGAAUAAGAGAGAAACAAAAAAAAAAGAGAAAAGGGAAGAAAAGGGAGAAAAGCUCGAGCGCCGCCGGAACGAUCGCGAAUGUGCAACGCGAUCGGAGUCACGAGGCGCGACCCGGAAUAACGAUAUAACAGCAAGCCCAGCGGCCGUAUGUGAGUGUACAUUCGCCACUCGCGGAACACGAGGAACGUGUCGAGAAAACGGGGGGUCCCGAGUGACGUUAGGGGGGGCGCGUGCAGAACAGACUUUGCCCCCCACCCCUGCGCCUAUAACCGGCAUCCUUGGAGGCUCGCCGCGGCGUUCAGGAGAGAGGAUAGCUCGUCGAUUUUGCAGUGCGAUUUAGGCCUGGGCGAGGCCCAAGGAAGAAGCCGCCUCCGCCACAAUCGCCGGACAGC